This 324-nucleotide long non-coding RNA is filed under the name Capra hircus (goat). RNAcentral's name for it is "lncRNA (ENSCHIG00000005105.1)". Lineage: Eukaryota; Metazoa; Chordata; Mammalia; Artiodactyla; Bovidae. The record is from RNAcentral.
GAGACAUCUUGGGCUUUGACAUUAUUGACUGACAGAGGAACAGAAAUCAUAACACAUGUUGAAAUAGAGGCUCACUUGUCAGAAGCAGAUAAAGUAAGGUCAUCUAUCCACAGUCAAAACAGCUUUUCAUGAAACCUGGAUGGAGAGAUACCUUUCUUUCAGAAUCUUCUAUUAGAAGCCUACUUAAGAGAGAAAUAUGCAUUGUAGUGAGAUGAGCAACAAGAACUAAUACCUACACAGAAAGAGAAUGACAGCAAAUAAUCCUCAGUCUCACUAAGAAAGGUAAUGUGAACAGAUUUUUAUUCUUCUUAACCAAGAACAGAA